AUUGAACGCUGGCGGCAUGCCUUACACAUGCAAGUCGAACGGUAACGGGCCUUCGGGUGCCGACGAGUGGCGAACGGGUGAGUAAUACAUCGGAACGUGCCCGAUCGUGGGGGGUAACGAGGCGAAAGCUUUGCUAAUACCGCAUACGAUCUACGGUUGAAAGCCGGGGACCGCAAGGCCUUGCGCGGGCGGAGCGGCCGCUGGCAGAUUAGGUAGUUGGUGGGGUAACAGCUUACCAAGCCGACGAUCUGUAGCUGGUCUGAGAGGAUGAUCAGCCACACUGGGACUGAGACACGGCCCAGACUCCUACGGGAGGCAGCAGUGGGGAAUUUUGGACAAUGGGCGCAAGCCUGAUCCAGCCAUGCCGCGUGAAGGAUGAAGGCCUUCGGGUUGUAAACUGCUUUUGUACGGAACGAAAAGCCUUCUUUUAAUACAGGAGGGUCAUGACGGUACCGUAAGAAUAAGCACCGGCUAACUACGUG
This 482-nucleotide ribosomal RNA is filed under the name uncultured bacterium. RNAcentral describes it as "partial 16S ribosomal RNA". It matches the Rfam family "Bacterial small subunit ribosomal RNA", at positions 30 to 507 of the family's 1533-position model. The record is from RNAcentral.